This 87-nucleotide transfer RNA is filed under the name Patescibacteria group bacterium. RNAcentral's name for it is "tRNA-Leu". It matches the Rfam family "tRNA". Rfam says of the family: Transfer RNA (tRNA) molecules are approximately 80 nucleotides in length. Their secondary structure includes four short double-helical elements and three loops (D, anti-codon, and T loops). The record is from RNAcentral. RNAcentral also lists the same sequence under 3 other names.
GGGCGAGUGGCGGAACUGGUAGACGCACUGGCUUCAGGAGCCAGCGGGGGCAACCCCAUGAGAGUUCGAGUCUCUCCUCGCCCACCA